AAAACAACGUUGACGCGGAAGAGUAUGCAAAAGCGCACUUGUCCAGAGAGUUAUCCAUUAGCUGCGAGGAUAAUCAAGCUGUCUUUGCUGAAUGGCCCGCUGAGUUGCUCACCGAAUCUGGGUUGCUACCUGGUAGUAGGCUGAGCCGUGAUUGCCUCCGUUAGCGGGCUGCGAGCGCGUAACCAUUGUGAUGGUUGCGAAUUCGGGUGGUACCGCGAGAAUCAAGCCGUCUCUCGUCCCGUAU
This 244-nucleotide non-coding RNA is filed under the name Herpetosiphon aurantiacus. RNAcentral's name for it is "T-box sequence". It matches the Rfam family "T-box leader". Rfam says of the family: Uncharged tRNA acts as the effector for transcription antitermination of genes in the T-box leader family. T-boxes are found upstream of many aminoacyl-tRNA synthetase genes and some amino acid biosynthetic genes usually in Gram-positive bacteria. Lineage: Bacteria; Bacillati; Chloroflexota; Chloroflexia; Herpetosiphonales; Herpetosiphonaceae. The record is from RNAcentral.